Cyprinus carpio (common carp) is the source of this 551-nucleotide long non-coding RNA. The record is from Ensembl. Lineage: Eukaryota; Metazoa; Chordata; Actinopteri; Cypriniformes; Cyprinidae.
AAAGCAUGCAAGUAACUGUAGAGUUCUUGCAUAAAACAACAGGGGAUCACAGCCAGGUUUUGCUGCUGCACUACCAUUCAGGCUUUCUUUAGACCUGCAUCAAGAAAAGGAUGAUGAAACGGAGCAGUUUCUGACAGAAAACACUGAUCCUUCUUUGCGAUCUCGUCUUUUUGCUGUUUUCCCACAGCCUCCGGGAGGGACUUGUCCAAACUCAGCAUCAGCUUUUGUCUUUGGAUGACCAGGACAUCAUCAUGAGGCCCCUGAAAGGAGAAAUCUGGCCCAACAGCACUGCAGAGGUGAACAUCAUCUUCAAACCGCAGGAAGCCAGGAUCUACCAGCAGACUGUUUACUGUGAAAUCACUGGUACUUACAGUAGCAUAAUGAUAACAGAUGUCGUGUUAAAAUAAAUAGAUUUUUGCUGUCACAAUUAUGCUUAUGCAUGCUUGUAUUGUUUUCUAACAAUGCAUUAGUAUAUUUGCAUGGGGUGCUUGAGCCCAUCUGCAGGUUUGCAUUUAUUUGCAUGUUUGACUAAGGUCUAACAAUAUUCUGGU